This 314-nucleotide unclassified non-coding RNA is filed under the name Hevea brasiliensis (rubber tree). The record is from RNAcentral. Lineage: Eukaryota; Viridiplantae; Streptophyta; Magnoliopsida; Malpighiales; Euphorbiaceae.
GUAUAAAUAAUAGUGAUUUUAGUUUUUGCUGUAGAUCUAAACUGAUUGGAGAGCGUUUAGUAGUGAUCUACCUUGUGUUUACUGGUUUGGUUUCUUUUUAGGUGUUGCACGCGAGGAAAGGGNNNNCAAUGAGAAUGCUUUUGCUGUUUGGUACCAAGACCGACGGGUUCAGAAAUUUUAGUGGGUGUGCUCUGCCUCGUCGCCGGUCGUUGUCCCUUGCUUCAGAUCUUACUUCAACAAUGGUUGUGUUUUCUGAUGCUCUUGGGGUCCCUCUUAGCAGCUUAACCUCUUGGAGAAGUUUUAUAUAAGGAAUC